UGGGGAAUAUUGGACAAUGGGCGCAAGCCUGAUCCAGCAAUGCCGCGUGUGUGAAGAAGGCCUUCGGGUCGUAAAGCACUUUUAUCAGGAGCGAAACGCUGUCGGCUAAUACCCGGCGGAACUGACGGUACCUGAGGAAUAAGCACCGGCUAACUUCGUGCCAGCAGCCGCGGUAAUACGAAGGGUGCAAGCGUUAAUCGGAAUUACUGGGCGUAAAGCGUGCGUAGGCGGUUUCUUAAGUCUGCUGUGAAAUCCCCGGGCUCAACCUGGGAAUGGCAGUGGAUACUGGGAGGCUAGAGUGUGUCAGAGGGUGGUGGAAUUCCCGGUGUAGCGGUGAAAUGCGUAGAGAUCGGGAGGAACAUCAGUGGCGAAGGCGGCCACCUGGGACAACACUGACGCUGAGGCACGAAAGCGUGGGGAGCAAACAGGAUUAGAUACCCUGGUAGUCCACGCCCUAAACGAUGCGAACUGGAUGUUGGUCUCAACUCGGAGAUCAGUGUCGAAGCUAACGCGUUAAGUUCG
This 522-nucleotide ribosomal RNA is filed under the name uncultured bacterium. RNAcentral describes it as "partial 16S ribosomal RNA". It matches the Rfam family "Bacterial small subunit ribosomal RNA", at positions 355 to 868 of the family's 1533-position model. The record is from RNAcentral.